AUGUUGUCACGCAUUCUCACCAGUGAAGAGUUGAAUAUUCUCUCCGAGCCUAUUCGGAGCAAGCUCGACAAAUGGAUUAAUGAAAAUGUGGAGGCUCACUUCGCCACCAAAGCCUUAUUCGAAACCCAUAAGAAAGAUUCUGAUGUUAAAAUUACCACUUUAUCAUCAGAGUUAGAAGUUUGUCAAAAUGAUAGAGCAGAAAUUCAACAGAAGCUGUCCCUUUUAGAAAUAGAUUUCAAAAAUAUCGAAAACAAAUAUGAUACCAGUCGGACAGAACUUCGCACAUUACAUGAGUCAAUCAAGAGAAUUGAAGAUGAAAAUGAGAGAAUUCGUCAACAGAGAGAUAGCUUGGCUGAAAGUCAGGCGGAAAUUGCUGCUACAUUGGAAAGAAGAAAUGCAGAGCGGGGACGUUUACAAGGAGACAUUGAGGGGCUUCAAAAUCAGCUCCAGGUAAUUGAACUAUCUAUCUUCUUGACCUAUAAUAAGGCAAACUUGGCCAUUACUGCGGCCUCAUUGACUGGUUGUCAGGGUAAUGAGUCAGUUAAGCUCGGGAGGGAUUUGCCUGCAAAUAGUCGAAUCUUACAGUUUUCGGUACGAGAAGAACGAUGCGCACGUUAAAAUUUCACGAAAUAUUGUCUCCGCGGAGAUAUAACGCUUCCUUUUUAGGGGUCCUCGAAAACAUGUUCGAACCGACCGCCGUGAAUAUUUGCCUCUACGCGUCAUAGACGGGAAGAUGGCGGCGCAGAAGCCGACCUGCUUACUACCGCCACGCCGCCGUUGUUGACAUCACGAUUUCUCGUUUGAGGUUAAGUAAGUUCUAUGUGAAUGUUUCAUAUCCUACAUACAUCUGUAUCGCAUACUGGUUGAAAACCUUAGAGAAUUGAGAACAAUGAAUUUGAAUCUCAAACAAAGUAACCUACAUAACCUCAAAUUGACCAACAAAAACACACCGCCAACGUGACGCCGCCGUGUAUUCUUCCACUACGCAUUCCGCCGCCAUAUUGAUCGUGACGUUUACAUGCAAAACCUACGAGCGCGCAGUUCAAACGCCGUUUUAGGCCACCCUAAUUUUUGGCACUUUCAAAUAAACUUUUCUCCCGUUUGCAGUCAUCAAAAAAAUUUAGGAAAAAAACCGUAAGCUUCGGUCACUUACUACUUUCGAAUGACACAAUUAAAAAAAAUGACUUAACUGACUCAUUACAGAGAAGAUUGAUGCAGCUGCAGCCAUUUGGUUGACUGAAGUAAAUGCUCAAGUCAAGUAUACACCGAUGGCUAAAGUGAGGUACUAUGUAUCUCCAUUGCGAUGCUUCAAAAUUUCUGCUCCCAGUUCAUUUUUUCGAAAAUAAAUUAAACAAGCCAACUUUACAACUUGAAAUUUAUACAGAAUAUUUUGCUGACAAAAAAAAUUCUAAGAAGUUUAAAAAUCACACUGACUAGUCUUCCAAAAAGAAAGAAAAAGAAGUAUGACAGGAAGUCUGCAAAGUCACUUAUGAAGAUAAGUGGUUUUGCACUUUGGCCAUUGAUAUAUCCCAAAAACGGCAAAAAUGAUUCACAUGUUUGCGGGGUGAACAGGAAAAUUUCAUCACGAGUACAAUUGGUUAAGAUAAAAAGGCUGUCCAAAAAAGUAAACACUGAAAGUUCAUAGCAAUUUUGUGCCAUUCAAGUUUGUCUCAAGUAAAAUAUUUUUCUCUUCCCCUCACUCUUUGGUUAUGAGGGAAAACUCAAAGAGUGAGCCUGUGAUCAUUGAACAGAACUGAACGAUAAAUUAAUUUCAGAUUUGAAAGUUAUUUAUUUAUUGUUAGUAUUCCAUAUUUUGUCUACCACAGAAUCCAGAGAAAAGUUUCUGAUAGUUUAGAAUGAUUUCAUCACAGGAUUAUUCUACUUUCAUUUGUUUAUUUUUUUUGCGUUCCUUCUGUUUCAUGCAGUAGCAAAAUUGAC
This 1938-nucleotide long non-coding RNA is filed under the name Bemisia tabaci. Its description in RNAcentral is "lncRNA ENSSSA2NGG007339". The record is from RNAcentral. Lineage: Eukaryota; Metazoa; Arthropoda; Insecta; Hemiptera; Aleyrodidae.